This is a long non-coding RNA of Bombus impatiens (common eastern bumble bee), 2933 nucleotides long. RefSeq lists it as uncharacterized. The transcript has 2 exons. NCBI's taxonomy places the organism in Eukaryota, Metazoa, Arthropoda, Insecta, Hymenoptera, Apidae. The record is from RefSeq and is a predicted model, not a curated record.
UCAACUUUUUUAUCAAUUAAUGGCCAAUGCUAAUUCCUAAUAAUUAACAAACACAUUCUGUGUCAGUUUAAUUAAUAAAAUAUUAACAGUCUCAUAAAAAUUCUCAUUACACAACCUUAUCAUGGAAUUUUACUUUGCAUCAAAGUAAGUCUCAAAUUUAAUUCAUUUCAAUUAAGAAUUAUUAUUUAAUCCUAUUACCACUUUCUCUCUAUACAGAAGUUUUCUGUUUCCAAUAAAUUUUCCUAUUUUUUAGGAACAUCUGCCCGAAAUUUCCGAUAUCAAGAAAGACACUUUUGAUCCUUAUACCCUUUUAACCCAUUAACCUCAACUUGUAGGCAGCCAAAUUGGCGAUUACUCAAUAAGUGUGUAACUAGCAAUAAAUCUGAAGCUUUAAUAUUGGACAUUUUUGUAUAUAUUAAUAUACUGUGAAAAAAAAUUAAAAUUAAUACGGUAUCCAAAGAGGUCGUGUGAUAUUUUGUAUGAAAUACAAAAAUUGUUAAAAUAAAUAUAAAAAUUGGGUACUUUGCUAUUCGAUUGCUCAUGCAUUGCUAGGAUUGAAGAGAUUGGAGAGUUCUUAUGAUUCCCAUAACCUCUACAAAGAGAAGUGGGUUUGAUUCAACAGAAAUGUGAAUGUGAAAGUAAGAUUCCAUUGCACCGAUUCUUAUUUAUCUUUAUACAUACGUAUGGAUAAACACACGAGAACAGAACCAUAGAUAUUUUUACACGUUUCAGCGGACGAACUCAUUCGAGGACCAUUCCACGGAAGUGAUUAGAAAACUUUCUCCACUGGCCGUGACCUCGAUCCGAUUGACGUUUCGGUAACAACGAGCUGGAAGGCCAGAUAAGGCGAAUUAGUGGCCACCACUAAGUUGCAACAGAGAUAGCACAUUGGUGAUAUGAGAAAGUCGUUAGUGUUUAGUUCUGUAGAGUUCCUUUGUACUAUUGGAUUUUUAUAAAGCAGUCUUUUAACGUUCUCUUGAUUAGGAUUUAUGAGUGUGAAAUUUCAACGAAGGAAGCUCGUUCCCAGAAAUUGAUGGAAGGCAAAAUGAAAAAUAGCAUCAAGGUGAUAGGUUUCCACGAAUAACUUAUUUUUCAUCUACUCCUCAUUAAUGUAGCUUAUAGUGAAUUGUUUCUUUUUGAUAAAUUGAUGUAAAGUGAAAUGAAACAUAAAAUGAUGGUAUCAUUCUUUUGAAAGAGUGAUUAUAAGGUAAUUUUAUGUUGUAAUUUUCACAGCAUUGUUCACGCUAUCUAACAUCGUUGAAGAUUGUAGAUCAAUUUUAUUUCUCAUUUUUUACAAAUUAGUUAAUAGUUGAUUAGCUAACGUUAAAAAUUCAAUCUAUACGUUCAAUUUGGAUCUCAAAAUUUGAAUUUUUUUAGUGGUAGAAAUUAAAUGAGAUAUUUUUCGUUAACAAAAGGAAGACUUGGAAUUAUAAGGAAGGAAAUAAAAUAGUAAUAUCGAUAAGAGAAUUGUAAAAGAGAAAUCAAUUGAAAUUUGAAAGUUUCCAAAAUUUACAAUGUUGAACAGUAAUAUGUUAAAUUAUAAUGCAAUGUCAUUAAAUAUUCAACAAGCGCCGAUGACAUGGUCAUCAUAUGCUUACGAAUCUGUCACGGUAUAAUCAAAUAUUAUUCAAUGUCAUGGAACGUGACUGACAUGCGAAUGUUUUAUUACAUGUGUAUUAGGCCAUUCAGGGAACGAUGAAUUAUGUUUUGAAUGCACCGUAACAGUCUCUUAAAUCAAAGUUAAUCUUUUGAUAAAGAAAGACAAUAUCCUCUUUUGAUUGGGUUGUCCGUUUGCAAAAAUCAUCCUAGAUAUUGGAAACUCAUCGCAAACAAAAGUUUAAUGAAAACCAUGAAUCAGCCUGCGACAGAAAUCAUAAAAGCUCGAUCAGAUGCUCGAGAUUCUUCGCGAAGAACGAACUUUCCGCAAACAGGAUAACCCUAUGUAAUGGAAUGGUAAUUGGACAAGAAUCCGUUCAGUUUUCUUCUGCCUACAGCUUCGUCAAGACCGAGAAUAAAUUAUACGUUAAUCGUGUUUAAAAAGAACAUUCGUAAAAACGAGUUUCUAUACUAACAAAUUGCCUAACAAUGCUCACCAUUACUUGGAUUUCUUUUCUUUGUUGAAGAAAAAUUACAACAAUUAGGUUAAGUAGUCGUCUUAGAAUAUUUAGAUUAGAAGGCUAUUUAGAGAUCUAACAAAUUCUCUUAUCUUCCAUACUUCCCCCUUAAGAAAAUAUAUGUGACCUUAAUCUAUAUCUUUUAUAUUCCAAAGGAUUAUAUUUUCAUCCAAUAAUCUUAUAAAUAUAUUGCAUAGAUGUGAAGAGUUGUAAAUAACAAUUAGGAACGGCAAUAAAAGAAUUGAAAAAUAACUAAAAUAUCUGUACUGCUACUAUAACAAAAUAAUAAUAGGAAUACAAACUAUUAAAAAAGGUCAAACGGUAGUAAAAUCUCACAGUUCUUCGUUAGUCCAUACUAUUGUUCUCCAUUUCCGUAAUUGUUAUUUGCCCGUAUAUUUCAAUUACACGCGCAACGAGCGCGUGACGCAAUACGAAUUAAAAUUCCAAGCCGAAGGUUUCACGUUAUGUGAUCCACUUUUCGAUGAACAUCAGACGAAUUUCGUUACGCAAGCAAAUUUUGUUGAGAAAGGGUGUAACAGUCGAAUCGAUUCCAUACAAGGAAGUUAGAGUUUAGCAUUGUUACGCGACUGACCUUUAUCGUAGCUGAAAUUCCGUCUGAGUUUCUCACGGGGUGUGUAUUUUGUAUUUUGAACGCUAGAGCGUGUGUUUGUGUUGUAACGCUAGAACUGCCAACCUAUAAUGUGUACCUAAAUAUGUUAUACAUAGUUAAUUAAUAUUAAAGCAAUAUGUUGAUAACAUAUAAGUAUAUAUAAUCAAGUUCCUGUACCAAUAACAGUAAACUUUAAUAUUAUCAAAAAU